AUCUUCCGCAAUGGACGCAAGUCUGACGGAGCAACGCCGCGUGAGUGAAGAAGGCCUUCGGGUUGUAAAGCUCUUUCGCGAGGAAAGAAAACUUACCCUCUAACAUAGGGUGAGGCUGACGGUACCUUGAGAAGAAGCACCGGCUAACUACGUGCCAGCAGCCGCGGUAAUACGUAGGGUGCGAGCGUUAAUCGGAAUUACUGGGCGUAAAGCGUGCGCAGGCGGUUUUGCAAGUCAGAUGUGAAAGCCCCGGGCUCAACCUGGGAACUGCGUUUGAAACUGCAAGGCUAGAGUAUGGGAGAGGGAGGUAGAAUUCCACGUGUAGCAGUGAAAUGCGUAGAGAUGUGGAGGAAUACCAAUGGCGAAGGCAGCCUCCUGGCCUAAUACUGACGCUCAUGCACGAAAGCGUGGGGAGCAAACAGG
Molecule: ribosomal RNA, 423 nt
Filed under: uncultured bacterium
Lineage: Bacteria
Description: bacterial SSU rRNA
Rfam family: Bacterial small subunit ribosomal RNA
Source: RNAcentral